RNAcentral lists this ribosomal RNA (406 nucleotides) under uncultured bacterium. Its description in RNAcentral is "partial 16S ribosomal RNA". It matches the Rfam family "Bacterial small subunit ribosomal RNA", at positions 30 to 526 of the family's 1533-position model. The record is from RNAcentral.
AUUGAACGCUGGCGGCAGGCCUAACACAUGCCAGUCGAGCGAGCGGCGGACGGGUGAGUAAUGUCUGGGAAACUGCCUGAUGGAGGGGGAUAACUACUGGAAACGGUAGCUAAUACCGCAUACCAUCAGAUGUGCCCAGAUGGGAUUAGCUAGUAGGUGGGGUCAUGGCUCACCUAGGCGACGAUCCCUAGCUGGUCUGAGAGGAUGACCAGCCACACUGGCACUUAGACACGGUCCAGACGCCUACGGGAGGCAGCAGUGGGGAAUAGUGCGCAAUGGGCGCAAGCCUGAUGCAGCCAUGCCGCGUGUGUGAAGAAGGUCUUCGGGUUGUAAAGCACUUUCAGCGGGGAGGCGUUACCCGCAGAAGAAGCACCGGCUAACUCCGUGCCAGCAGCCGCGGUAAUUC